This 484-nucleotide ribosomal RNA is filed under the name uncultured bacterium. Its description in RNAcentral is "partial 16S ribosomal RNA". It matches the Rfam family "Bacterial small subunit ribosomal RNA", at positions 30 to 507 of the family's 1533-position model. The record is from RNAcentral.
AUUGAACGCUGGCGGCAGGCCUAACACAUGCAAGUCGAGCGGAUGAAGGGAGCUUGCUCCUGGAUUCAGCGGCGGACGGGUGAGUAAUGCCUAGGAAUCUGCCUGGUAGUGGGGGAUAACGUCCGGAAACGGGCGCUAAUACCGCAUACGUCCUGAGGGAGAAAGUGGGGGAUCUUCGGACCUCACGCUAUCAGAUGAGCCUAGGUGGGAUUAGCUAGUUGGUGGGGUAAAGGCCUACCAAGGCGACGAUCCGUAACUGGUCUGAGAGGAUGAUCAGUCACACUGGAACUGAGACACGGUCAAGACUACUACGGGAGGCAGCAGUGGGGAAUAUUGGACAAUGGGCGAAAGCCUGAUCCAGCCAUGCCGCGUGUGUGAAGAAGGUGUUCGGAUUGUAAAGCACUUUAAGUUGGGAGGAAGGGCAGUAAGUUAAUACCUUGCUGUUUUGACGUUACCAACAGAAUAAGCACCGGCUAACUUCGUG